RNAcentral lists this ribosomal RNA (104 nucleotides) under Acanthosepion pharaonis. The record is from RNAcentral. Lineage: Eukaryota; Metazoa; Mollusca; Cephalopoda; Sepiida; Sepiidae.
AUAUCGCGUUGAAACACCGGUUCCCGUAAGAUCACCGAAGUUAAGCAACAUGUAGCCUGUUCAGUACCUUGAUAAGUGACCACUUGGGAAUACCGGGUGGUGUA